AUACGUAGGUGGCAAGCGUUGUCCGGAUUUACUGGGCGUAAAGGGUGAGUAGGCGGUUAUGUAUGUCAGGUGUAAAAGGCGUAGGCUUAACUUACGUUAGCACUUGAAACUGCAUAACUUGAGUGCAGGAGAGGUAAGUGGAAUUCCUAGUGUAGCGGUGAAAUGCGUAGAUAUUAGGAGGAACACCAGUGGCGAAGGCGGCCUGCUGAACGACAACAGACGCUGAGGCGCGAAAGCGUGGGGAGCAAACAGGAUUAGAUACCCUGGUAGUCCACGCUGUAAACGAUGAAUACUAGGUGUGGGGGGACUGACCCCCUCCGUGCCGCAGUUAACACAAUAAGUAUUCCACCUGGGGAGUACGAUCGCAAGAUUGAAACUUAAAGGAAUUGACGGGG
This 395-nucleotide ribosomal RNA is filed under the name uncultured bacterium. Its description in RNAcentral is "partial 16S ribosomal RNA". It matches the Rfam family "Bacterial small subunit ribosomal RNA", at positions 523 to 918 of the family's 1533-position model. The record is from RNAcentral.